UCAAUUAUAUUUCAGGUCCAAACUCCACUCUACAACUUUAAGUGAUAUCCAUGAAGUUGAAAAUACUGAAUAUGGCAAAAACAGAAUCAGAAAUGGAAUUUAAGGUCUAGAAGAAACAUCAACAACAAUAAAUAGCACGAGCAGUAACUCAGCAAGAAUCAACUUGAACUAACAAUAGCGCAAUGUUUUCCAAACAAUAAACCCAAACCAGCUUUAACAAAAUCUAAAAUUCAACAUAUUUUUUCCCAAGAAUAAGCUUUCAAAACCAUAUUAAACAAUCAUCAGACCCAUAUGAAUCAGAGAUGCUUCAGAAAUUCGAAACCUCAGGAAUUAUAAUAAGCAGUUCAAAGGAACAGUAGUUUUCUACCUAAAACCUUAGCCAUUUUUUAUUUUCUGGAUUUUUC
Molecule: long non-coding RNA, 404 nt
Filed under: Nicotiana benthamiana
Lineage: Eukaryota; Viridiplantae; Streptophyta; Magnoliopsida; Solanales; Solanaceae
Description: long non-coding RNA (NBEN_LNC030844)
Source: RNAcentral